UGGGGAAUAUUGCACAAUGGGCGCAAGCCUGAUGCAGCCAUGCCGCGUGUAUGAAGAAGGCCUUCGGGUUGUAAAGUACUUUCAGCGGGGAGGAAGGCGAUAAGGUUAAUAACCUUGUCGAUUGACGUUACCCGCAGAAGAAGCACCGGCUAACUCCGUGCCAGCAGCCGCGGUAAUACGGAGGGUGCAAGCGUUAAUCGGAAUUACUGGGCGUAAAGCGCACGCAGGCGGUCUGUCAAGUCGGAUGUGAAAUCCCCGGGCUCAACCUGGGAACUGCAUUCGAAACUGGCAGGCUAGAGUCUUGUAGAGGGGGGUAGAAUUCCAGGUGUAGCGGUGAAAUGCGUAGAGGUCUGGAGGAAUACCGGUGGCGAAGGCGGCCCCCUGGACAAAGACUGACGCUCAGGUGCGAAAGCGUGGGGAGCAAACA
RNAcentral lists this ribosomal RNA (427 nucleotides) under uncultured bacterium. RNAcentral describes it as "partial 16S ribosomal RNA". It matches the Rfam family "Bacterial small subunit ribosomal RNA", at positions 355 to 774 of the family's 1533-position model. The record is from RNAcentral.